Vigna unguiculata (cowpea) is the source of this 1274-nucleotide long non-coding RNA. RefSeq lists it as uncharacterized. Lineage: Eukaryota; Viridiplantae; Streptophyta; Magnoliopsida; Fabales; Fabaceae. The record is from RefSeq and is a predicted model, not a curated record.
UCUUGCACUCACCCUUCUUUCUCUCCCUUUCCUUUUUCUCCAUCUCUUCAUCAAUCUUCAUUCGCUCCUCAAAACAGGAACACUGAAUCGUGAUUCCCGAUAUAGGUUCGACACAAAACUCCAAUCCACCGAUUCUUUCCGCCGUCGCCACCACGUGCGUCACCUCCGUCACCACCUGGUAUAUUCGUUUUCUUUUUGUUUUCUCCAUAUUCCACAUAUCCGUUACCGUAAUCUUUCGCAAAUGAGAGUGUUAUUUCUGAAAGAAAAUGCAAGAGGCAGUCUUGGAGGGAGUACCUACGGGACCAAGGGUGACACUCUUCUCCAAAUGAAAUUUGCUUACAACCAUUUGGCUCCCCUCUUUCUGAUGUUGCUACAGUGGAUGGAUUUUUCUUGUACAUGCUUAUUACUCAGAUAUCUUGACAUCUUUCACAUAGACAUAGUUGUAUACAAGGUACACAUAUGGUAGAUCAAAUAUGACUUCUCAUAGAAGGAAGGCAACCAUCAGGAAGUUCUAAGAUGUUUAUCUCGGCCCAACCGUGGAGGAUAGAUGGUUGGGAUCAUCUCGGCCCAAGCAGGGUCCGGUUUCGCCUUGGCUCAGUUGCUGGGGUGCCCCAUUUUUCAGGUACAACAAAACAUAGAGCGCAAAAGGGACAUGGGAAGGCAAAGAAGGCUGGAUAUAUCUCAGCCCUUUUGGUCAUGUAUAUCCCGGCCUAAUAGUGUGAUGGAUGGAAAAUGGGACCAUUUUGCAGAGGUACAGAGGAGCAGCGCGCAAACUCAUUAAGUAAAGAAAGAACUAAUCCUUGACAGGGUACAAACGAACAAAUCUCAGCAAAAAAGGAAAGAGUUGAUGUUUGUCGACGUACAUUCAAACAAAUCUCAGCCAAAAAGGAAAGAGUUGAUGUUGGGCGAAGUAUAGACGAACAAAUCUUAGCCAAAAAGGAAAGAGUUGAUCUUUGACAAAAUGCAGGCCAGGCACAUAAUCUCAGUCAAUAAGAAAAGAAUCGACGCGUACAACCUUAGUCAGAAAGGUAAGAGUUGAUCCUCGAAUACAAACGGCCCGCAAAUAAUAAUAACAGGUUCAUCAAGAGAUUAUUAUAAAUUAUGGUUUAGUGAACACGUAAAGGUAUGUUUUCUCACUUAACUACAUACACCUCAUAUCAAAUCACUAUUUGACUUGAGUGUCAAAGUGACUACAGGUAACCCCACCCUUAGAGUUCAUACAGCAAGCAGAUCUAAGAGAAGUCCAGAGAGGAAUAGAAGGAGCUUUGACACAG